UGCAUGUAAAGGAAAAUCCUGGUUCCCUCAAUGCCAGUGCUCUGUUUGGAUGCCAGCAGGAGACUUGCAUAUGUCAGAUUUAGGAUGAUAAAUGGCCUGCUGUGCCAGCCUCAGAAAUUGCCAAGUUCAGGGAUCUUGAGCUGAGGGCAAACGAAUCCAGGCACGAAUGAGCCCUCCUGUGAUACGUGAAGUGGUGGUCCUAUGGCUAGCAGAGAUACCUGGCUGUGUGCAAGAGCCAGCAGACUACGCAAGAGCACAGCCCACAGCGACUCUGUGUUUUGCACAUAUAUGUGAUCUACUGCAGUUGUCUUACUGACCUACAUCUCUCACUGACAUCCUAUGCCAUUACAACUCCAACAGGCUUCAGUUCCAGCUGGAGAAGACUUCUUCCUUAUUGGAGUGGCCUGGAGGAUGCUAGCAUCCACUGCUGCAGCUCCUGCUGAAUUCAACAGUUUUGCCAUUGGCUGUAACAAGAGUAGGACUGUGCUUUCUGUCUGCACGCUCCUAAAAGGGUGUUCCAAGACAUAUUUAGCCUUAUGAAUGUCUUAC
Molecule: long non-coding RNA, 549 nt
Filed under: Gallus gallus (chicken)
Lineage: Eukaryota; Metazoa; Chordata; Aves; Galliformes; Phasianidae
Description: long non-coding RNA NONGGAT000962
Source: RNAcentral